GGCUGGGUAGCUCAGUUGGUACGAGCGAUCGCCUGAAAAGCGAUAGGUCGCCGGUUCGAUCCCGGCCCCAGCCACAA
Molecule: transfer RNA, 77 nt
Filed under: Streptomyces albidoflavus
Lineage: Bacteria; Bacillati; Actinomycetota; Actinomycetes; Kitasatosporales; Streptomycetaceae
Also listed under: 6 other names
Description: tRNA-Phe
Rfam family: tRNA
About the family: Transfer RNA (tRNA) molecules are approximately 80 nucleotides in length. Their secondary structure includes four short double-helical elements and three loops (D, anti-codon, and T loops). Further hydrogen bonds mediate the characteristic L-shaped molecular structure. tRNAs have two regions of fundamental functional importance: the anti-codon, which is responsible for specific mRNA codon recognition, and the 3' end, to which the tRNAs corresponding amino acid is attached (by aminoacyl-tRNA synthetases). tRNAs cope with the degeneracy of the genetic code in two manners: having more than one tRNA (with a specific anti-codon) for a particular amino acid; and 'wobble' base-pairing, i.e. permitting non-standard base-pairing at the 3rd anti-codon position.
Source: RNAcentral